This 433-nucleotide ribosomal RNA is filed under the name uncultured bacterium. Its description in RNAcentral is "bacterial LSU rRNA". It matches the Rfam family "Bacterial large subunit ribosomal RNA", at positions 757 to 1180 of the family's 2925-position model. The record is from RNAcentral.
UAACACCAACUGGAGGUCCGAACCCACACCGUGUUGAAAAAGGUCGGGAUGACUUGUGCCUAGGGGUGAAAGGCCAAUCAAAUCUGGAAGAUAGCUGGUUCUCCGCGAAAGCUAUUUAGGUAGCGCCUCGGACGAAUACCUUCGGGGGUAGAGCACUGCAUGGGUGAUGGGGUCCCACAGACUUACUGAGCCUAAGCAAACUCCGAAUACCGAAGAGUACUAUCCGGGAGACACACGGCGGGUGCUAACGUCCGUCGUGAAGAGGGAAACAACCCUGACCUACAGCUAAGGCCCCUAAUUCGUGGCUAAGUGGGAAAGCAUGUGGGAUUUCCAAAAACAACCAGGAGGUUGGCUUAGAAGCAGCCAUCCUUUAAAGAUAGCGUAACAGCUCACUGGUCUAAACAAGAGAUCCUGCGGCGAAGAUGUAACGGGG